RNAcentral lists this transfer RNA (53 nucleotides) under Amaranthus viridis (slender amaranth). RNAcentral's name for it is "partial tRNA-His". It matches the Rfam family "tRNA", at positions 1 to 50 of the family's 71-position model. Rfam says of the family: Transfer RNA (tRNA) molecules are approximately 80 nucleotides in length. Their secondary structure includes four short double-helical elements and three loops (D, anti-codon, and T loops). Lineage: Eukaryota; Viridiplantae; Streptophyta; Magnoliopsida; Caryophyllales; Amaranthaceae. The record is from RNAcentral. RNAcentral also lists the same sequence under 19 other names.
GCGGAUGUAGCCAAGUGGAUCAAGGCAGUGGAUUGUGAAUCCACCAUGCGCGA